This is a long non-coding RNA of Monodelphis domestica (gray short-tailed opossum), 359 nucleotides long. RefSeq lists it as uncharacterized. The record is from RefSeq and is a predicted model, not a curated record. NCBI's taxonomy places the organism in Eukaryota, Metazoa, Chordata, Mammalia, Didelphimorphia, Didelphidae.
GAAUGCAAGAGUCUAAGUGGAGUUAACCUCUAUUUUAUAGAUGAGGAAACUGAGAAUCAUGGAAGAUUCACUCAUUUGAACAAGUAUUUAUUGUGGACAUACAAUGUGCAAGCUAAACAAACACUUGUGGGACACGAUGGACACACUCUCCCAGGAAUAUGAGAAAAAGAUGAAUUUACAAUGGGUAGGUGCCUUCGAUUAUUAACCAGUGGGAAGCACACAAACCCAACCAAUAUGAAAACUGUGGAAGAAAUUCUAGAUGCUGAAGACAUGAGGCUUCUAAGGCAAUAAGAGAAUCCUACAGAUGACUAGUGUUAGACGAAUUCCUAUCACUGCUCAAAGAGAACUACUGAAAUGAA